CCAGGAAAUAGUUUGGUGCAUCGCGGAAAUAAACAUGGUAAAAUUCUACCGCUCAUAAGGUUAAAGACAAUACCGAGGAAAUUAUACAUUGACUAUUUGCAAACAUGCAGGAACGACUCGAACGGUUCGAUCAAGUCUCGAUAUUUCUCAUACUAUUUGUCGCGGUCGGAUGGAAUUUCGAUGUUUGUGUCCAAGUUGCGAUCGCUCAAGAGGAUGGAAUUGAAGAUAUUAUAACUGGAUUGAAUCCCACCUGUGUUUUGGAACUCAAAGAAAUCGCCUUUUUUCUGUACAACAGAAAAGAACCGGAUGGCGUCAUCAUCGAUCUGGAAAGCGGCGAUAUCCCUGUCAAACAAAAUGUUAUGACGUAUUUUGUGGUUCACGGUUUUACCUCAGAAGCCAACAAUUCUCGAUAUUUAACCCUUAUAGAUAUCUUAGUUGACAAGUACAAUUACAACGUGUUCUCCGUCAAUUGGAGAGACGGUGCUUGUUCCGGUGGGAUUCCACUCACGCAGAUAUUGGGGUAUCCUCGAGCAGCCAGAAACACCAAGAUCGUGGGAUGGGCCAUAGCCAAAUUUAUCGACCGGCUGAUCCGAGAAUUCGGGCUCAGACUCAGGAACAUGGUCAUUGUCGGGCAUAGUUUGGGUGCUCAGGUCGCCGGGGCUGCCGGAAAACAACUUCAACUUGGACGAACGGGAUUGCCACCGCUUAUAAUAGGUUUAGAUCCCGCGGGACCAGGGUUUGAAUUUAACAGUUGUUCUAACAGAAUAUGCGCCUCAGACGCCAGGAUAGUAGAGAUAUUGCACACUUCGUAUACGUUCGGUAUGCACAGACCGAUCGGAGACGUCGAUUUCUAUCUCAAUGGCGGCACGAUCCAGCCUCUGUGCCCUGCGCUGGAAAUCACGUGCUCCCACUCCAGUGCGAUUACUUAUUUGAUCUACAUCAUGCAAAAUCCGGACUGCAAAUUCAUCGGAAGACGCUGGGUCUGGUCGAGCUUUUUCCCCCCUUCAAAAUAUACACCGUGCAGACCGUCGACAUGCCCCGCGGUUGGACCAAAUAUCGCCAAUUACUCGACGCGCGGUGUUUUUUACGUUGACACGUCGGAACUUCCUUCGAAAUGCGCUGCUUUGAAACUGUGACGAACCACUGCGUCUGUAACAUUCAGAUCGACACGCACACAUCCAAUAUCGACAUGAUUAUAUCGUAUAGUAUUUUUGGUUUGCCGGUGAAUAUUUCGUACAAGAAGACAAGGAAGCUCAGGAGUAAGCCGAUUAGUAGAAUGAAAAAAGUCCCCUGCACCUGAUUGGCUGACAUUCUGACUGGACCGGAAUUUCCGUGAUUCCCUGGGGGAAAUAAAAGUUUUUAAAAGUA
This is an RNA transcript of Athalia rosae (coleseed sawfly), 1368 nucleotides long. It is a transcript of the gene named phospholipase A1 2-like, with no coding region annotated. The transcript has 9 exons. Lineage: Eukaryota; Metazoa; Arthropoda; Insecta; Hymenoptera; Athaliidae. The record is from RefSeq and is a predicted model, not a curated record.